ACGGCAGAUAAGAACCAUUCAGCCUAUCUAGUCUGCCCAUUUUUUUAAAUACUUUAAUUAGUCCCUAGCCUUAUCUUAUAGUUAGGAUAGCCUUAUGCAUAUCCCACGCAUGCUUAAACUCCUUUACGGUGUUAACCUCUACCACUUCAGCUGGAAGGCUAUUCCAUGCAUCCACUACCCUCUCAGUAAAGUAAUACUUCCUGAUACUAUUUUUAAACCUUUGCCCCUCUAAUUUAAGACUAUG
Non-coding RNA from Pelobates cultripes (western spadefoot toad), 244 nucleotides. The record is from the annotation of a GenBank genome assembly. Lineage: Eukaryota; Metazoa; Chordata; Amphibia; Anura; Pelobatidae.